AACGCGAAGAACCUUACCUGGGCUUGACAUGCUAGGAUUAUCCCGGUGAAAGCCGGGUAGGCCCCGCAAGGGGAACAACUAGUACAGGUGCUGCAUGGCUGUCGUCAGCUCGUGUCGUGAGAUGUCGGGUUAAGUCCCUUAACGAGCGAAACCUUUGCCCUUAGUUACCAGCGGGUUAUGCCGGGGACUCUAAGGGGACUGCCGGUGUCAAACCGGAGGAAGGUGGAGAUGACGUCAAGUCCUCAUGGCCUUUAUGCCCAGGGCCACACACGUGCUACAAUGGGGUGCACAGAGCGAACCUAGAGCGCAAGCUGGAGGAAAUCGCAGAAAUCACCCCCCAGUUCAGAUUGGAGGCUGCAACCCGCCUCCAUGAAGUUGGAAUCGCUAGUAAUCGCGGAUCAGCUACGCCGCGGUGAAUGUGUUCCCGGGCCUUGUACACACCGCACGA
RNAcentral lists this ribosomal RNA (448 nucleotides) under uncultured bacterium. RNAcentral's name for it is "bacterial SSU rRNA". It matches the Rfam family "Bacterial small subunit ribosomal RNA", at positions 958 to 1397 of the family's 1533-position model. The record is from RNAcentral.